Molecule: ribosomal RNA, 506 nt
Filed under: uncultured bacterium
Lineage: Bacteria
Description: partial 16S ribosomal RNA
Rfam family: Bacterial small subunit ribosomal RNA
Source: RNAcentral
AGUGAACGCUGGCGGUAGGCCUAACACAUGCAAGUCGAACGGCAGCACAGAGGAGCUUGCUCCUUAGGUGGCGAGUGGCGGACGGGUGAGGAAUACAUCGGAAUCUACUCUGUCGUGGGGGAUAACGUAGGGAAACUUACGCUAAUACCGCAUACGACCUACGGGUGAAAGCAGGGGACCUUCGGGCCUUGCGCGAUUGAAUGAGCCGACGUCGGAUUAGCUAGUUGGCGGGGUAAAGGCCCACCAAGGCGACGAUCCGUAGCUGGUCUGAGAGGAUGAUCAGCCACACUGGAACUGGGACACGGUCCAGACUCCUACGGGAGGCAGCAGUGGGGAAUAUUGGACAAUCGGCGCAAGCCUGAUCCAGCCAUACCGCGUGGGUGAAGAAGGCCUUCGGGUUGUAAAGCCCUUUUGUUGGGAAAGAAAUCCAGCUGGCUAAUACCCGGUUGGGAUGACGGUACCCAAAGAAUAAGCACCAGCUAACUUCGUGCCAGCCGCCGCGGUAA